UACCUACUAUCUAGCGAAACCACAGCCAAGGGAACGGGCUUGGCACAAUUAGCGGGGAAAGAAGACCCUGUUGAGCUGACUCUAAUCACAAACGCGAGGUGAUUCUAAAGGUGUAGCAUAGGCGGGAGAGCCCUCGGCUCGACCCUGAAAUACCGCCACUUUCGACAUUGCUUUGCUAAUGCUGUAACUAACGGUACGCCGCCUUCGGCUGAGCUGCACUUGUGCGGCUUCCAGCCUUAGGUAGGCUAUAUUCUUGCGCUUUAUCCCCGAGCCUAGGCUACGACCGACUGGCGUCUUUAGGUGAGUACCUUGGGGCCACGAGCUGGGCUUACGAGUCUGGCGAGUGCCUGUCCUCGGGGGAACUAAGGAAGGCUGGAAGGUCCUCUGGCCCAGGCGCUUGACCUGGGGAACGUAACGUGACGCGGUAGACAAUUUGUGUUGGGGAGUUUGGCUGGGGCGGAAAACUGCUACACGGCAACGGCAGUCUCCUAAGGUCUGCUCAGAGGCGACAGAAACGUCUCGUAGAACAUAAAGGUAAAAGCAGGCUUAAAACGAUGCUUUCAGUAGUAGCAUGUAUCGAGAAAUCGGGGCUUAACGAUCCUUUGCAGCGGGUGCCAGCCCAUGCUAGAGGUGAGAGAAAAGUUAAACUGGCUUGUGGCCGCCAAGCGUUCAUAGCGACGUGGCUUUUUGAUCCUUCGAUGUCGGCUCUUCC
This 712-nucleotide ribosomal RNA is filed under the name Comatricha laxa. RNAcentral describes it as "partial large subunit ribosomal RNA". It matches the Rfam family "Eukaryotic large subunit ribosomal RNA", at positions 2346 to 2894 of the family's 3401-position model. The record is from RNAcentral. Lineage: Eukaryota; Evosea; Eumycetozoa; Stemonitida; Stemonitidae.